Molecule: ribosomal RNA, 313 nt
Filed under: Clostridioides difficile
Lineage: Bacteria; Bacillati; Bacillota; Clostridia; Peptostreptococcales; Peptostreptococcaceae
Description: bacterial SSU rRNA
Rfam family: Bacterial small subunit ribosomal RNA
Source: RNAcentral
UUAUUUGAGAGUUUGAUCCUGGCUCAGGAUGAACGCUGGCGGCGUGCCUAACACAUGCAAGUUGAGCGAUUUACUUCGGUAAAGAGCGGCGGACGGGUGAGUAACGCGUGGGUAACCUACCCUGUACACACGGAUAACAUACCGAAAGGUAUGCUAAUACGGGAUAAUAUAUUUGAGAGGCAUCUCUUAAAUAUCAAAGGUGAGCCAGUACAGGAUGGACCCGCGUCUGAUUAGCUAGUUGGUAAGGUAACGGCUUACCAAGGCGACGAUCAGUAGCCGACCUGAGAGGGUGAUCGGCCACAUUGGAACUGAG